This 70-nucleotide transfer RNA is filed under the name Xenophysogobio boulengeri. Its description in RNAcentral is "tRNA-Arg". It matches the Rfam family "tRNA". Rfam says of the family: Transfer RNA (tRNA) molecules are approximately 80 nucleotides in length. Their secondary structure includes four short double-helical elements and three loops (D, anti-codon, and T loops). Further hydrogen bonds mediate the characteristic L-shaped molecular structure. tRNAs have two regions of fundamental functional importance: the anti-codon, which is responsible for specific mRNA codon recognition, and the 3' end, to which the tRNAs corresponding amino acid is attached (by aminoacyl-tRNA synthetases). tRNAs cope with the degeneracy of the genetic code in two manners: having more than one tRNA (with a specific anti-codon) for a particular amino acid; and 'wobble' base-pairing, i.e. permitting non-standard base-pairing at the 3rd anti-codon position. The record is from RNAcentral. Lineage: Eukaryota; Metazoa; Chordata; Actinopteri; Cypriniformes; Gobionidae.
AGGGAGUUAGUCCAAAACAAGACCUCUGAUUUCGGCUCAGAAAAUUAUGGUUAAAAUCCAUAACCCCCUU